AAGACAAAAGCUAAAAUAUUUUUUGAUUGAUUGAUGAAAUGAUGAACAAUACAAGCACUAUUUAUACUAGAGGAUUUACUAAAUUAGGAACCUACUAGUCAUAGGAAAUUAAGGAAAAAAAUAUUCCAUGACCAAAAAUAUCCCAAAAUAAUCUCCCCCAUUAAAUCAACAAAAUUUUCAGCUAAUUAAAAAUAGGAAAAAUUCUACUUUGGCCCUCCUUCUUUGCUUCUUUCUUUAAUUUGGCCCAAUUGUUCCCUUUUUCUUCUAUUUAGCCCCCAAAUUGCAUUCCUGCACAAAAUUCAAUAAAUAUGGCAAAAUUAGUGGUGCAUUCUUAUAAAUAUACCAAAUUAAUUACAUAAAAUAUGUAAUUUUAGUAUUUAAUCAAUUCCCCCUACUUAGCUUAUGCUAGUCCUCGAGCAUUUUGUAUGUAUCUGCAAAAGGAAAAAUUUUCUCCAAAAUAGGACUUGACACUCAUGGUUUGCACAAUUCAACAAUUCAAUCCUAGCACAUUAACAACUCAAAUAACCUAGCCUAAGAAGUAAGUAAAUAUAUUUUAUGAGAGCUUGAUAGACUUACCUUUCAUUUUAUUAUUUUAUUUAUUUUUGUACUUAGGACAUUAUCGAACUUUUUGACGCGAGACAUGAUGACAACCCAAGCACCAUGUUCCGGUUACUCAAUU
Molecule: long non-coding RNA, 679 nt
Filed under: Gossypium barbadense (sea-island cotton)
Lineage: Eukaryota; Viridiplantae; Streptophyta; Magnoliopsida; Malvales; Malvaceae
Description: long non-coding RNA (GBAR_LNC021618)
Source: RNAcentral